GAUACCCUCGAUGCGUCCGGACAAUCCGCGUGGCUUGGGCCCACGAAAUCGCAGGUUCAAAUCCUGCCAGCCCCACCA
RNAcentral lists this transfer RNA (78 nucleotides) under Candidatus Bathyarchaeota archaeon. RNAcentral describes it as "tRNA-Pro". It matches the Rfam family "tRNA", at positions 11 to 71 of the family's 71-position model. Rfam says of the family: Transfer RNA (tRNA) molecules are approximately 80 nucleotides in length. Lineage: Archaea; Thermoproteati; Candidatus Bathyarchaeota. The record is from RNAcentral.